Long non-coding RNA from Hydra vulgaris (swiftwater hydra), 394 nucleotides. RefSeq lists it as uncharacterized. NCBI's taxonomy places the organism in Eukaryota, Metazoa, Cnidaria, Hydrozoa, Anthoathecata, Hydridae. The record is from RefSeq and is a predicted model, not a curated record.
UUUGUUUUUUUUGUAUAAAUUCCAUUUCACUAUUUUUUAUUUUAAUAACGUACCUUUGAUUCAAUAAGAACCUUGCUCUUUGAUAUUUGAUUUGACAAGAAUUUUGCUUUUUGACGUUAAACUUUAGCAACUUAAUUUUUACAUUUCGAACUUGUGAUAUGGAUGGAAAAAAACUUAAAGAAGGAGCAGAAAAAACAAAGGAAAAAUGUACCGAUUUUGUGAAACAACAUGAUGGGAAAGUAACCGAAGAAGCUAAACAACUCAAAGCCAAUGUGGCCGAACCAACAAAAAGUUAAAAUAUAGAAAAGGCGAUAUUUCCAUUGUUUCUUGGUCUUGAUUAAAUUAUUUUGUUUAAACCGGUUUUUUUUUUCCGUAAAUAAAAAUGUCUUACUUA